GCGGUAGUGGCGGAAAGGCAGACGCGCUGGUCUAAGAAGCCAGUGAAGGAAACUUCGUGGAGGUUCGAAUCCUCUCUACCGCA
RNAcentral lists this transfer RNA (83 nucleotides) under compost metagenome. RNAcentral's name for it is "tRNA-Leu". It matches the Rfam family "tRNA". Rfam says of the family: Transfer RNA (tRNA) molecules are approximately 80 nucleotides in length. Their secondary structure includes four short double-helical elements and three loops (D, anti-codon, and T loops). Further hydrogen bonds mediate the characteristic L-shaped molecular structure. tRNAs have two regions of fundamental functional importance: the anti-codon, which is responsible for specific mRNA codon recognition, and the 3' end, to which the tRNAs corresponding amino acid is attached (by aminoacyl-tRNA synthetases). tRNAs cope with the degeneracy of the genetic code in two manners: having more than one tRNA (with a specific anti-codon) for a particular amino acid; and 'wobble' base-pairing, i.e. permitting non-standard base-pairing at the 3rd anti-codon position. The record is from RNAcentral.